UUGGAGGGCAAGUCUGGUGCCAGCAGCCGCGGUAAUUCCAGCUCCAAUAGCGUAUAUUAAAGUUGUUGCAGUUAAAAAGCUCGUAGUUGAAUUUCGGGAUUGGCGCAUCGGUCGUGCCUCACGGGGUAUGAACUGGUGCAGUCAAUUUCUCACCUUCUGGAGAACCGCGAUGUCCUUAAUUGGGUGCCGCGAGAAACCAGGACCUUUACUUUGAAAAAAUUAGAGUGUUUAAAGCAGGCAUUUUUGCUUGAAUACAUUAGCAUGGAAUAAUAAAAUAGGACGGCAUGGUUCUAUUUUGUUGGUUUCUAGGACCACCGUAAUGAUUAAUAGGGAUAGUUGGGGGCAUUAGUAUUCAAUUGUUAGAGGUGAAAUUCUUGGAUUUAUUGAAGACUAACUACUGCGAAAGCAUUUGCCAAGGAUGUUUUCAUUAAUCAAGAACGAAAGUUAGGGGAUCGAAGACGAUCAGAUACCGUCGUAGUCUUAACCAUAAACUAUGCCGACUAGGAAUCAGACGAUGUUAAUUUUUUAAUGACUCGUUUGGCACCUUACGGGAAACCAAAGUGUUUGGGUUC
RNAcentral lists this ribosomal RNA (572 nucleotides) under uncultured Glomeromycotina. Its description in RNAcentral is "SSU rRNA". It matches the Rfam family "Eukaryotic small subunit ribosomal RNA", at positions 548 to 1114 of the family's 1831-position model. Lineage: Eukaryota; Fungi; Glomeromycota. The record is from RNAcentral.